Molecule: ribosomal RNA, 348 nt
Filed under: Anophryoides haemophila
Lineage: Eukaryota; Ciliophora; Oligohymenophorea; Philasterida; Glauconematidae
Description: partial Bacterial large subunit ribosomal RNA
Rfam family: Bacterial large subunit ribosomal RNA
Source: RNAcentral
GUAAUAGCUCACUGGUCGAGUCGGUCCGCGCGGAAGAUGUAACGGGGCUAAAACUAUAUGCCGAAGCUGCGGAUUUGCAAUUUAUUGCAAGUGGUAGGGGAGCGUUCUGUAAGCCGAUGAAGGUGUAUUGAGAAGUAUGCUGGAGGUAUCAGAAGUGCGAAUGCUGACGUGAGUAACGACAAUGCGAGUGAAAAACUCGCACGCUGAAAGACCAAGGGUUCCAGUCCAACGUUAAUCGGGGCUGGGUGAGUCGACCCCUAAGGCGAGGCCGAAAGGCGUAGUCGAUGGGAAACAGGUUAAUAUUCCUGUACUCGGUGUUACUGCGAAGUGGGGAGGUUAAGCCUCACG